UGCCUCCUUUUCUUUUCUCCGCCGCUCCUCUCGUUGCCUGACUUGCCUCGAUCUCUCUCGUCCCCUCUUUUCUAGCGGCGGCGACGACAGGGCGAGCGGCGCCACCCUUGGUCAAGUUUUCGUCGGGUGCUUCGCCGACGACGAGCAGCCGGCAGGCGACCGUGUUCUGAUUCUCCUGGAUUGAGGGGAUUGCUCAUUGGAGAUUCAUCUUGAGGCUGGAUUUCACAAUUUUAUGGCCUUUGACUGCAACAAGGCAAGAGGAGUUUCUUUGCCUAAUAAUCGCUCCAGUAUUUGCACCGAGGGUACUAUCAUCCAGGCAAAUCCCUUAUCUCACUACUGGAAGGCUAAAGGUUGGAAGAGCCGCGACAAAUUAGGGAACCAGAAGUCCAGUUAUGGAUCAAUUCCAAGAGACUCUAAUACAAAGAAAGCUGAUGAAGCGAGUGGUGAAGCCACUGCCUCGACCUGUGGUAUCAGGUGCUUCACCGAUUUGCCAGCUGCAUUGGUCUGUGAGGUCCUGGCACGCCUUGACGCAAAGGAGCUUGGAAUUGUAUCUUGUGUCUCCACCCUUCUGCAUACUUUAGCCACAGAUCAUCAGGGAUGGAAGAAAUUGUACUGUGAAAGAUGGGGGCUUCCAAAUCUUCCUGCCACCCUAAACGGGCCCGUGGUUCCAGGUAGUCCCCUAGAUGGGAAGUCCUGGAAAACAUUUUUUGUGGAGCGGGAGUUUCGAAGUAAAUCAUUCAUGGGGAAAUGCAAUGUGGAUGUUCUUCGUGGCCACAAUGAGGAUGUACGUGCCGUGUUCCUUCUGGCAUCAGCAAAUCUAAUUUUCACUGGUGGUCGUGAUUCUGUGGUUAGGAUGUGGAAUAUGGAGGAAGGGCUCUUGAUUGAUUCAUCCCAUCCACUUGGUGGCACCAUCAGGGCCGUUGCAGCUGACACUAGGCUUUUAGUGACUGGAGGAACCAAUUCCUAUAUUCAGUGUUGGAGGGCUGUUGACGGGAAUGUUCACCUAUUCCACAUCUCUGGAAAUGGUACUGAUCAGACUUCAGAAUUUCGCCUCUGGGGCCAUGAAGGUCCUGUGACUUGUCUUGCUUUAGAUUCGUUGAGGAUUUACAGUGGUUCUUGGGACAUGACUGUUCGUGUUUGGGACAGGACCCACAUGGAGUGUGUGCAGAAGCUCAUGCAUGCGGACUGGGUUUGGGAUCUUGCUCCUCAUGGAAACACUAUUGCUAGUACAGCUGGUAGAGAUGCAUAUGUGUGGGAUAUCAGGAACAGCGAGUUGACAAGCUUAAUUUCCAAUGCACAUGUUGGAAACACGUAUUCUCUGGCUCGGACACACUUGGCUAAUGUGCUAUUUACUGGUGGAGAGGAUGGAGCUAUUCGCUUGUUUAAUGUUUCUGAUGUCUCUGAUGAUGAUGAGGACAGUAAACCAGUUGCUACUUGGGUGCCACAUUCAGGCCCUGUUCAUUCUCUUGCUUUUGAGUAUCCAUGGCUUGUCUCAGCCUCGAGUGAUGGUAGGAUUGCACUGAUUGAUUCGAGGAAGCUUCUAACCCCAAAAAAAUCAUCAAAGGGGCCUUUCAGCGUUAAGAGCUUUGAUGCAAGCGCUAUAGAGCCUCCGCAGAGGAUGCUUCAUGGCGUUGGAUGUGAUCUCUUCUCCAUUGCCAUUGGUGCAGAUAGGAUUGUAUGUGCGGGCGAGGAUGGUGCUGUCAGGGUCUGGAACUUCUCAGAAGCACUGGAGAUUGAGAGGAGGGCACAAGCUCUAAGGAGUUUGAGGCAGGAGAACCGCAUGAGGCGGAGGAAGGCACAAGCAGAGAUGAAUGCAAAUGGUAGAAGGCCUGACCAGUGCUCAAUAGCCAUGAAAAAGAACCAACUGAAGGGUGAUAAGAGUGUCACUUAGGAAAACAAGCGCGCCAUUAAUGAGAAGAUUACAUUUUUGCAGUUUGGGAGAGAUGAAGGACAUACACCACUGCAUUAUUCCUUAGCCAUAUUGAUCUAUCUAGGACCACAUUUGCUGCAGGAUGGCCCAGUGAACAGGGAAACAAGCAGGUGAAAAUUACUCGGGUAGGUAAGCAAGAUGUUUGAUUUUCCUAUGAAGAAUGAUGCUACCCACCAGUUGUUUGGAGUUGCGGUUCAUCCAUCAGCUUAGUCGUCAUGCCCUACAUAGCUCCUCCAAAAUGUCAACUUUGCUCAGCUGGACUCAACCAGUACAUUCUUGAGAUCGAAAUGCAGGAUGUGCAAUUCAGUAAUAGCCUUGCUUUCUUGUUAAAAAGGUCACACAAUCCUUUUCUCAAAAGCAGAAAAAUAUAGUGACAGGAUCACAAAACAGAGUAUCGGUAGUCUUCUCUACAACUCAGCUGAACAUAAUUCUUUCUAGGAAAUUUAGCUCAUAUUUUCAGUAGUUCAAAACUGCAUUCCAUGCUCUGAUUUUGGCUGCCUGAAUUGACUUGCACAGUUUGAAUC
Molecule: RNA transcript, 2454 nt
Organism: Panicum hallii
Lineage: Eukaryota; Viridiplantae; Streptophyta; Magnoliopsida; Poales; Poaceae
Gene name: F-box/WD-40 repeat-containing protein At5g21040-like
Exons: 4
Source: RefSeq, a predicted model, not a curated record